Zalophus californianus (California sea lion) is the source of this 1380-nucleotide long non-coding RNA. RefSeq lists it as uncharacterized. Lineage: Eukaryota; Metazoa; Chordata; Mammalia; Carnivora; Otariidae. The record is from RefSeq and is a predicted model, not a curated record. The transcript has 4 exons.
GGGGAUAUUAAAUUCUCAACUAUAGUUGUUGAUUUGUAUAUUUCUUCCCACAGUCCUGUCAGUUAUUGCUUUAUAUAUUUUGAAUUAUUACAAUUAUGUCGUAAGAUACAUAAAUAUCCAUAUACUUUUUACUGUUUCUUUUGAUCAAUAGGUAACAUUAUUCUUUGGGUUUUGGAUUCCAUUUUGUCAGGUUUUGGGACUGCCCUCCCAGCUUUCUUUGGCUUCAUAUUUGCCUGGUGUAUCUCUCCCCUCUCACAAUUUUUUUUUUUUUUUUUUUUAGCUUUUCCCUGUUUCUUUGCUUGAAAUGUGUCUAAGACAAUGUGUUGGUGGAUAUUGUUUUCUUUAAUCCAAUGUGGGAGUCUCAUUUUAAAUUGAACCUUUGAUUUUUACCGGGGCUCAUGGCUGCAUUGAAUGAGGACUCCGUUUCCUGUCUUCCUUUGUGGUUAGGAAUGAUAGAGAAGUACAUACUUAGACCCUUUACACAAAGUGAUGAACUUCAAGUUUUCUGCAGUGAGUUGGUGGAUUGAAUUGAGUUCCGGUCAUUCAGUGGGACAGGCCCUCCGAAUGUGUGACAAAGAAAGCAAGCCCUCUGCUCUCAAGUGGUUCAGGGAGACGGACAGGAGGAAAGCACAUUUGCUUAAGGAUAUGAACCACACAGAGGAAGGACUAAUUAGUGCUAAGGGGAGAUUGGAGGUGGCAGGUUGUUUCUUGAAGCCAGCUCUCAUUUACCUGCCUCUGUUGUUGGCAUGUAACAGCAGCCUGGUUUCAGGCGUGUGGUGUUUGAGGGAGCGUACUUGGCACCCCAGGAGAAAGCUGAAGAAAUGGCGUUGGAGUUUGAGAAGGCAGACUCAGUGUGCUGUGAGUCUGUGCUCGAAUCCCCAGGGAGUUCCUUACAGGGAAAGGAAGUGAACCUGCAGGAGACACAUUGGAAGAGAUGAAGGAGGAACCGUGGACAAGCCCAAGCACUGGGAAAUAAUGGGAGUACUCUGGCCUCAGCUCCAUGCCUGGAGGAGGCUGGCCUCGGGGGUAGAGGACUCAUUUCUCCUCCCGGCACCCGGGUGGGCUGGUGUCCUCCAUGUUCUCUCGCUGCCCUGCUUGGCCCAGAGGACAAGGGCAGGGGUGGGAAGAGUGAGUGGUGGAAACAUGAGGAGAAGAGCAAGGCCGUGCCUGCUGGGAACCCCCCGGGAUGAGGUCCUGGCGCAUUCUGCCCCAUGGCCCAGAUACUUUGCGCCCACCCCGAUCUCAAGUCUGCCUCACCCGCCACUUCCCUUCCCCUGUUUCUCUUCCCAGUGGGACUGUGGGAGGGAAGAUCUAAGAAAGUCUGUGCUGUUGCCCAUCUGGAAAAUGAGCUAAAAAAUCCGAGUUUGUAGCAAGCAUAAU